GCUGCAGUCAGCAUCAGCUUCACCAACUUGCAGAGCAAGUAGUGUCUUAGGGAAGGUUCUUCCUUGAGAACUGUUGCCUCUUAGUCCUGGCUGAGCCUCAGCUAGCACUCCCCACACUUCUUUCCUGGAAAAGCAUAGGAAGCAACACAUUUGGCACUGUUAUACGAAUGGAAGAUCAUCGUGGCUAUGACGAAUGAGCAAGAGGGAGAAUAGUAAGGAAUGAAGCUGAAGAGAACGAACCAAUGCAAUUAAACUAUCAAGUAUAGAGUCCACAUUUACAGGGAACUGGAUGUUCCAAAGAAAUAGACUGGUCUACUCAAUGGUCAGAACAGCUGAGGUGCUGAGCAUCUGUCGGAAAAAGCUGUGCCAAGAGACUCAGCAGCAGCAGCAACAAAAACCAUUGUCACAGAGGUGGAAACUGGCUGAAGGACUUGCUCAGUGGUGUGGCUGAAAAUCAUUCAUCACACUAUCCAAACCAGAAAUCCUGGAAUGAUUUGGCUCACCUAUGCUGUUUCAAUGCUUCUCUCUACAGUGGCAUAUUCAAAUGAUCUCAACAGAUUCACAGGACUUUCCAUUAGUGUCCACCUCAACCAUGUGGAUGAUCCAUCAAUUCUAUUUUCUAAUGAUGUACAUGCAAUGACAUUCAUUUCUAUGAAAUGUCAUGUAUAAUCCAGCAUAAAAUGGAGACAAUUUGUGCACUUCUUACUCAGUGUGUUACUGUGAGAAUGAUGUUCCAAGAUCAUCAAAGUUAAGUGCUUAAAUAUUCAAUGCAUAUCAGCUCAACAAACAUUUACUGAAUACCCAAUAUUAUGGCUACACUUCAGGAAGUUCUGAUAUUUACUGCCUUCAGGGAUAUUUUACACAGCAUCAGAGAAGCUUAUGUUAGAACACAUGUUGUAUCAUAGACGAAAAACAUUCGUAAGAUUUCAAAAAGAAGAAGCAAAACAAACUGUCCCUAAAUGAUAAAGAAACAGAAGAUUAGGAAGCUGAGAAUGAGAGGUUGAGGAAGAACUUGAGGACAUUCACUCCCCAACACUUGAUAAGAGGUACAUAAAAUAAACAAAAAAACAAAAACAAAAACACGUUAAACUCUGACAGGGCCUAAGAUGAUCCGUAAAGUUCUAGGGUCAGUCUUUAUGCAAAGCAUUGAAUAGGACAAAGUGGGAUGAUAAUAUGUUGUGUUCUACACUGGGACCUUUUCAUACAAUAAGGCUUUCUAUGAAGAUGUUACAAUGUAGUUAGAGUGACAAAACAAAGAACAUAACCUGAGUUUUCUUUACUGGCCUCAAAGUAGGUGUUAGUAGAGUUACUAUCUAACUUGUACAUAUGCACAUGUAUUUUCCAAAAGUAGAAUUCUCAGCUUGCUUUCCUCAAGGUUCCAUCUUGGCAUUUUUAGAAAAGUCAGAGAAGGGUCUACUCUGUUCUUCAUGCAGUCUUCACAAGCCCUUGAAUCCCUGCCCUCCCUUCCCCCACAUUUCUCCACUGCCUCAAACACUCCUGUAUGGUGGGGGUUUUCCCCACUACCAUCAACCUAUGCCCGCAUGAGAAAAUCCAAUGUCCAUCCCAAGGGUAUGAUCUCCCAGUGUUUCCCAGGUUUCUCAGCUUUGAGAUUCCUAAGACAUUCUAGGAUUGCAAUUGCUCUUCCCAUUCUAAAGCUACAGGGAAUAUAACUUGUCCUUCCCUCCAUAUAACACAUUAGCCCACACUAGCUCAUCACCAUUUUACAGAUGAGAAACUUUGGCAUAGCAAAGUUGAAUGACUUGGCCAAAACCACCCACGUGGCAAAUACUUAUAUUCACUGGCCUUAAAUAUGGUGCAAACUCUCAAUGGACAGCCCUAAAAUUGCCUGGAUUCUUAAGAAGAGCAAAAUUUGGGGUAAUUUUAGAUAUCUGCUAUACAUCCCAAACUGUGAAAGCAAUAUAGAAGUCUGUACUGAUAAUAGGCACCCACAGAGCAAGGUGUCAGUGGGAGGGAGAAGGAGCCCUAGAGGGACUCCUGAGUCCUGAAUUUAUUGAAUCCACAUUACUUCUUUUCCUGGAAUUACCAUCCACUCUUGAGAAUGACCCAGGUCAAAUGAGCACCUUCAGAUUGCUGAGUAAAAUCCAUGAGACUUUCGUCGUGGCCCCUUCACUGCAGAAGCACCUUUGGGCUUCACUGUCCUAAUCUGCAAACUUGAGCCAGCAGUGGUACCGCAAAAUGACUAAAAUCACAGCUCCGGGAGACAGCUCUGCCAUGAGCAAGUUCCUUAACACCUCCUCAUCUAUAAAAGGGUUAUUUCACAGUGUCCCCAUCACAGAUUUGGUAGGAAAAUUAAAUUAGCUAGCAUGAAGUGUUUAGAGCAAUAUCUGGCCCAUGGUAAAGGGCUUAAGUAUUAUUAAAAUUAAUGUUAUGGAAAAGACCACUUCAUUCACGACGCGAUGAGAUGGGGAGUUUCAGAACCAGUUUCUUUUAUUUAUAUACCUUUGGAGCCCACAAAACCUCAUACCAAACCCAUGUCAUCUUGCUAGUUGAUUUCUAUUUGCUCCUGGCAAAGUAUGCCUUUCCACAUAUAAAGAAAAAUGUCCAGAAUAGAUACACUGAGUAUCCAAUAUCCAACUCUUGCAAAAUAGCAUUCUGAUGAGAGGAAGGUAAAUUAAUCAGACUCCUGAUGAUUAAAUCUCUUUGAAAAUACACCGGGGGGGGGGGGGGGAGGGCAGAAGCGCUGGGAAAAGUGAACCACGGCUUUGUAGAAACACAUUUUUCAGCCAAAUCCUAAGCAUUACUCCACAAGCUCAUGAAAUGCCUUGGACAUGUUUAAAAGAAAGCUUUGUUGAGCUACACAAUUCUUCAUCACUUUAGGGACCCUCAAAUACAUUUAUAUGUAAUUUGCUUUUGCAUGAUUUUAUUAAAAGA
Long non-coding RNA from Panthera uncia (snow leopard), 2892 nucleotides. RefSeq lists it as uncharacterized. The transcript is spliced from 8 exons. NCBI's taxonomy places the organism in Eukaryota, Metazoa, Chordata, Mammalia, Carnivora, Felidae. The record is from RefSeq and is a predicted model, not a curated record.